This 773-nucleotide ribosomal RNA is filed under the name uncultured bacterium. RNAcentral describes it as "bacterial SSU rRNA". It matches the Rfam family "Bacterial small subunit ribosomal RNA", at positions 8 to 796 of the family's 1533-position model. The record is from RNAcentral.
AGAGUUUGAUCAUGGCUCAGGACGAACGCUGGCGGCGUGCUUAACACAUGCAAGUCGAACGGAAAGGCCCCUUCGGGGGUACUCGAGUGGCGAACGGGUGAGUAACACGUGGGUAAUCUGCCCUGCACUUCGGGAUAAGCCUGGGAAACUGGGUCUAAUACCGGAUAGGACCACUUAGCGCAUGCUUUGUGGUGGAAAGCUUUUGCGGUGUGGGAUGGGCCCGCGGCCUAUCAGCUUGUUGGUGGGGUGACGGCCUACCAAGGCGACGACGGGUAGCCGGCCUGAGAGGGUGUCCGGCCACACUGGGACUGAGAUACGGCCCAGACUCCUACGGGAGGCAGCAGUGGGGAAUAUUGCACAAUGGGCGCAAGCCUGAUGCAGCGACGCCGCGUGGGGGAUGACGGCCUUCGGGUUGUAAACCUCUUUCAGCAGGGACGAAGCGCAAGUGACGGUACCUGCAGAAGAAGCACCGGCCAACUACGUGCCAGCAGCCGCGGUAAUACGUAGGGUGCGAGCGUUGUCCGGAAUUACUGGGCGUAAAGAGCUCGUAGGUGGUUUGUCGCGUUGUUCGUGAAAACCGGGGGCUUAACCCUCGGCGUGCGGGCGAUACGGGCAGACUGGAGUACUGCAGGGGAGACUGGAAUUCCUGGUGUAGCGGUGGAAUGCGCAGAUAUCAGGAGGAACACCGGUGGCGAAGGCGGGUCUCUGGGCAGUAACUGACGCUGAGGAGCGAAAGCGUGGGGAGCGAACAGGAUUAGAUACCCCCGUAGUCC